Molecule: ribosomal RNA, 545 nt
Filed under: uncultured Russula
Lineage: Eukaryota; Fungi; Basidiomycota; Agaricomycetes; Russulales; Russulaceae
Description: eukaryotic LSU rRNA
Rfam family: 5.8S ribosomal RNA (bases 70-223)
Source: RNAcentral
UGCUCACGUUUUUAACAUCAAACACCCUAGUGUAGAAUGUUCUUUGCGCGAUCACGCGCGAAUCAAUACAACUUUCAACAACGGAUCUCUUGGCUCUCGCAUCGAUGAAGAACGCAGCGAAAUGCGAUACGUAAUGUGAAUUGCAGAAUUCAGUGAAUCAUCGAAUCUUUGAACGCACCUUGCGCCCCUUGGCAUUCCGAGGGGCACACCCGUUUGAGUGUCGUGAACAUCCUCAACCUGCUUCGUUCUAUCGAACCAAGUAGGCUUGGAAUUUGGAGGUUUUUCUGCUGGCUUCCUCUGUGAAGCCAGCUCCUCUUAAAUCUAUCAGUGGGAUCCGCUUUGCUAGAUCCUCGACGUUGAUAAGAUGUUUCUAUGUCUUGGGUUUCGCUCGGGAAAGGACCUGCUUCUAACCGUCCCCCCCAUCGGGGACAAUGUUCGAGAGCCGAUCGCCCUUCACGGGGUGGGAAGCUUUUCGACCCAUGAAACCUUGACCUCAAAUCGGGUGAGACUACCCGCUGAACUUAAGCAUAUCAAUAAGCGGAGGA